Molecule: ribosomal RNA, 250 nt
Filed under: Paenibacillus sp. Root444D2
Lineage: Bacteria; Bacillati; Bacillota; Bacilli; Caryophanales; Paenibacillaceae
Description: Bacterial small subunit ribosomal RNA
Rfam family: Bacterial small subunit ribosomal RNA
Source: Rfam by way of RNAcentral
GAACGCUGGCGGCGUGCCUAAUACAUGCAAGUCGAGCGGAUUUAUCCUUCGGGAUAAGUUAGCGGCGGACGGGUGAGUAACACGUAGGUAACCUGCCUAUAAGAYYGGGAUAACUAUCGGAAACGAUAGCUAAGACCGGAUAAYUGGUUUUYUCGCAUGAGAGAAYYAUGAAACACGGAGCAAUCUGUGGCUUAUAGAUGGGCCUGCGGCGCAUUAGCUAGUUGGURRGGUAACGGCYYACCAAGGCGAC